GGCUUUUAGGUCUGCGCCCACGGCAUAUGGAAGUUCCCAGGCUAGGGGGUAAAUCGGAGCUGCAGCUGCCAACCACAGCUACAGCCACAGCAACACGGGAUCUGAGACUGAUCUGUGACCUAUACCACAGCUCAUGGCAACGCCAGGUCCUUAACCCAGGAUUAAAUCCACAUCCUCAUGGAUACUAGUCAGGUUCAUUACUGCUGAGCCACAACGGGAACUCUGACUCAGCAUUUUAAAAUUUGAUUGAAAGCAUAGAAUUGCAAACCCCUUGACAGUGAUCUUCAAACUGGUGGUUGUCAGUAAAAACACAAGCCCCAACCACAAGGACCUAAGAUGGUAGAGGAAAAAUCUUCCUCUCAACAGAGUGUGUGUGUGUGUGUGUGUGUGUCUAAAGUGGAUCUCCUGGAGAAGCCUUCACCCCUGGGUAUCCUCUUACUCUCUGUUUAAACAUCACUAUUCUCUCCACUUUGGUAUUUACUUUAAAUCUUCACAUAACGAGUGAGAAAAUCACACCAUACAUAUGUACAUACAUAUAAAAUACACAUUUAUAAUUUAUGUUUAUAUAUACAUACAUAUAUUUUAUAUUUAUACACACAGACACACUCGGCUAGUUCCAUCACCUGAUUCUAAAUUUAAGUUGGUCUAGGAUGGAGACAGGCUUCAAUAGUUUUUUUUUUUUUUUUUUUAAAGCUCCUCAGCUGAUUUUAAAGUGCAGCUGAUGUUGAUAAUGACUGGAUUAGAGCUAAAAAAAAAAAAAAAAGUGGGGGGGGGGAAGAAUUCCCUAAAAGCAUCAUAAUCAGCACAGACUCCUGCCUACACUGGAACCACAGUGCACUGAGGGCAUUGUCAGCAGGGCCUGCUUUUAUUGCUUUUUCCUUUUGUGCUGAAAAUAAAAACCAUUAUCUCCACUAUGAAGAACUCUGGGACCUGGUAUUGUCUGGGAUUCAGGGGCAGUGAAAGGGUGCUUCCUGGUAAAGCAUACUGUCUCAUGCAGAGAUCAAACUGACAGUAUUUAGACUCAAAGGAAGCAUUUGUUUUUUUUUAACAAAAUUUUUAAGAGAAAUUCAAUGCAUCCAUUUCAAGUAUAGUGUUGUUACCUUCUAUACUGGCAGUACUUCCUCUUCCUCAAUAAGCAACAUGUCGUUAUCUUCUGGCUGCUUUAUAAGAUUUUUCUCCUUAUUACUGGUUUUCAGCAGGUUGAAAAACAAUAGGGAAAAAAAUCAGUGACACCAAAAGUUGUUUAUUUGAAAAGAUUAACAAAAUUUACAAGCCAUUUUAAGUUAGAUUGGUCAAGGGAAAAAAGAGAAAGACUCAAACUACCUAAAACAGGAACAAAAGAAAUUAACAAAUGAAAAGGAUUAAGAGGGAAUACUAUGAAUAACUAUCUGCUAACAAAAUAGAUAAAUGAAAUGGACAAAUUCCCAGAAAUACACAAAAAAACUACUGAAACCCAUAUAAGAAGAAAUGAAAAGUAUGACUUGGCCUAUAAGUAAAGAGAUCAAAUUAGUAAUUUAAAACUUUCCACAAAGAAGAAAAGGGAACCCUUCUACACUGUUGAUAAGAGGGAAAAUUGGUGUAGUCACUAAGGAAAACAGUAUGGAAAUUCCUUAAAAAACUAAAAAUAGAGUUGCCAUAUGAUUCUGCAAUCCCACUCCUGGGCAUAAAUCCAGCCAAAACUAUAAUUCAAAAAGAUACAUUCACGCCUAUGUUCAUUGCAGCACUAUUCACAACAGUCAAGUCAUGGAGACAACCCAAAUGUCCAUCGACAGAUGAAUGGAUAAAGAAGUUGUGGUAGAUAGAUAGAUAGAUAGACAGACAGACAGACAGAUGAAUAUAGAUACAGAUAUGGAUACAGCCAUUAAAAAAGAAUGAAAUAAUGCCUAGAAAUUACCACACUAAGAGAAAUAAGUCAGAAAGAGAAAGACAAAUACCAAUAUGAUAUCAUGUUUAAGUGGAACCUAAAAUAUGACACAAAUGAACUUAUCUGUGAGUCUUAAACAGAAACAGACUCACAGAUAUAGAGAACAGACUUGUGAUUGCCAAGCAGGAGGGGAGUAGGAAGGGAAGGACUGGGAGUUUGGGAUUAGCAAGUACAUACUACUACUUGUAGAAUGGAUAAACAGAAGUUCCCACGUGGCUCAAUGCAGUGGCGUGGGUUGCUUCUGUGGCCCAAGUUCAAUCCCUGGGCUGGAAACUUCUUAUGCCACAAGAGCAACCAAAGGAAAAAAAAGAAAAGAAAGUAUAGCACAGAGAAUUAUAUUCAAUAUCCUGUGAUAAACCAUAAUGGAAAAUAAUAUACAUAUGUAUAACUGAAGCACUUUGCUGUACUGCAGAAAUUAACACAUUGUAAAGCAACUAUUAAAGCAACUAUACAUCAAUAAUUUAUUUUUUAUUUCCACAGAGAAAAGCCUUAGGUCCUGAUGGUUUCACUAGUGAAUUUUACCAAACAUUCAGAAAAGAACUAAUAUAAACUCUUUGAAAUUGUUCAGAAAACAGAAGAGGAGUAGACACUUCUCAAUCCAUCCUGAGGCUAGUAUUACCCUGAUACCAAAUUAGACAAAGAUAGUACAAGAAAAGAAACCAAAGAUCUAUAUUGCUUAUGAAUACAGAAGUAAAAAUUCUCAACAAAACUAGCAAACCAUGGAGUUCCCGUCGUGGUGCAGUGGUUAACGAAUCCGACUAGGAACUAUGAGGUUGCGGGUUCGGUCCCUGCCCUUGCUCAGUGGGUUAACGAUCCAGCGUUGCCGUGGGCUGUGGUGUAGGUUGCAGAUGCGGCUCAGAUCCCACAUUGCUGUGGCUCUGGUGUAGGCCGGCAGCUACAGCUCCAAUUCGACCCCUAGCCUGGGAACCUCCAUAUGCCGCGGGAGCAGCCCAAGAAAUAGCAAAAAGACAAAAAAAAAAAGCAAAAAAAAAACAAAGACUAGCAAACCAAACCCAGCAACAUAUAAAAAAGGUUACAUACCACAACCAAAUGAAAUCUUUCCUAGGAAUAUGAGGUUGGUUUAACUUCUGGAAAUAAAUUUAUAUGAUAGACAAUAGAUAUCCAUAAAAAGUCACAGCUUUAAGUAACAGUAUACCUAAUGGUAGAAAAAAUGGAAUGCUUUCCACCAAGAUCAGGAACAUGCAAGAAUGUAUGCUCCAGUCACUUCUACUUAGCACUGUCCUAGAGCUCACAUCAGGACAAGAAAAAGACAUAAAAGGUAUACAGAUCAGAAAGAAAAGUAAAACUAUCUCCAUUUGUAGAUGGAAUGAUCUUAUAAGUAGAAAACCCUAAGUAAUCCACACAUACACAUAAAUAUUAGAACAAAUGAAUGAGUUCAAGAAAGUCAUAGAAUACAAGAUUAACACAAAAAAAACUGUAUUUCUAUAUACUAGCAAUGAACAUUCUAAGAAUGAAAUUAAGAGAACAAUUCUAUUUACGAUAGCAACUAAAAAUAAAAUAACUAGGUGCAAUUUUAAAAAAAGAAGUCAAGACUUGUACACUGAAAACUACAAAACUUGUUGAAAGAAUUUAAAGACCUAGAUAAAUGGAAUGAUAUCCAUGUUCUUGGAUAAAAAGACUUAAUAUUGCUGAGAUGGCAAUAUGUUCCAAAUUGAUCUAUACAUUUAACAUGAUCUCUGUCAAAAUCUGAGCAGGCUUUUUUGCAGAAGGUGACAAACUGGUCCUAAAGCUCAUACAGAAAUGCAAGUGACCCAGAAUAGCCCAGACAAUCUUGAAAAGGAAGAACAAAGUUGGAGAACUCACAUGUCCCUAUUUCAACAUUUACUUUACACUAAUAAAGACAGUGUCUUACUGGCAUAAGGCUGGACAUAAAGAUCAAUGGAACAGAACUGAGAAGUCAGAUAUAAAUCCUUAUACUUACAGUCAGUUGAUUUUUGACAAACUGACAUCACAACUCAAUGAGGAAACAACAGUCUUUUCAACAAAUGGUGCUGGGACAACUGAAUUCCACAUGCAGAAAAAAUGAAGUUGGAACCCUCCUUAAACCUUAUACAAAAGUCAAUGCAAAGGAGUUCCCGUCAUGCCUCAGUGGUAAUGAACCCAACUAGUACCCAUGAGGACACAGGUUUGAUUGCUGGCUUAAGGAUCUGGCAUUGCUGAGAGCUGUGAUAUAGGUCACAGACAUGGCUUGGAUCUCACAGCAUUGCUGUGGCUGUGGCACAGGCCUCAGCUGCAGUUCUGCUUUGUCCCCUAGCCUGGGAACUUCCAUAUGCCAUAAAUGCAGCCCUAAAAAGAAAAAAAAAAAUAGAUCAAAGACUCAACUGUAAGAGCUAAAACUAUAAAACUCAUAAGAAAAUAGGCAUAAAUCUUGAUGACCUUGAAUUGGUAAUGGUUUUUCAACAUGAUGCUGAAAGCAAAAGUAACAAAAAAGAUAAACUGGACUUCACCAAUAUUAAAUUUUUUUGUGCUUUGAAGAAUACCAUUAAGAAAGUUAGAAAAAAAAAAGGGAGCUUCCAAGUGGUUCAGUAGGUUAAGAACCCAAAAUAUUGUCUGUGAGGAUGUGGGUUCGAUCCCUGGCCUCGUUCAGUGGGUUAAGGAUCGAGCAUUGCUGCAAGAUGUAGUGUAACUCACAGAUGCAGUUCAGAUCCAGUGUUGCUGUGGCUGUGGUGUAGGCCGGUAGCUGCAGCUCAGAUUCAAACCCUGGCCUGGGAACUUUCAUUUGCCACAGGUGCAGCCCUAAAAAGAAAAAAAAAGGAAGUAAACAACCCACAAAAUAACUGGAAAUACUUGCAAAUCAUAUAUUUGAUAAAAGUCUAGUAUGUGGAAUACAUAAAUAACUUUUAUUAACUUAAUAAAUUAACAAAUAACCCAAUUAAAAAUAGGCAAAUAUCUGAGGAGACAUUCUCUCAAGGAAGAUAUACAAAUGGCCAAUAAGCUCAUGAAAAUGUGCUCAACAUUAUUAGCUAUCAAAAGAUUUCAGAUGAAAACCACAAUGAUAUACCACUUUACAACUACUAGGAUGAAUAUAAUCAAAAAGUCCUAUAAAAUAGGUGUCAUGAAGAUGUAGACAAAUUGGAAUCUUGCCAGAGAGAAUGUAAAAUGGUGCACAGCCACUUUGGAUUUUUCUCUUUCUUCACUUUAGUUUCUUUUGCUAUGUCUUCAGGUUAAUUAAUCUUUUGAUCAGUGUUUAAUCUUUUAAGCUCCUCUAGUGAAUUAUUCAUCUAAGAGAUUGUAUUGUUUCAUUGCUAGAAGUUGCAUUUGUUUUUUUUUAUAUCUCCAAUUUUUCUCAUCAUUAUAUUCUUAUUUUUCUUUAAAUAUUUGAGCAUAUGCAUAAAAACUAUUUUAAACUCUUUGCUAAUCCCAUCAUUAGUAAUUUCUUGGUGCUUUCUCUUUAUUGGUCUUUUCUGAUGACUAUGGCUCACAAUUUCCUUCUUCUUUCUAUGUAAAGGAAAUUUUUUAAUGGAUUGAUACUGCAAACUCUACAUUCAGGAGUGUUACAUUUUGUUGAUUCUUUCAAAGGGUGUAAGACUGUUCAGUGAGGUAGUUAGGUUACUUUUCCAUCAUGUUGAACCUUUCAAGGCUUGUUAUUAAAUAGCUUAGGGGUGUGAGUUUAAGGUAAUCUUUACUGUGGGCUAGUUUAGCCAAGAUAUGACCUUUCUGAGGUCUCUACUGAAUGCCCUAAGUGUAUGUAUAACUCUCCAUUCUGGCAGCUCACAACACAAAUGUUUCCCAGCCCUUUUGAGCUCUGGUAAUUGUUCAGCUUGAAACUCCCCAUUCUUUGCACAGUUCUAUGAGGUUUCAGCCAUACACUCAAGGAAAUGCCUAUGGGAAGUUUUGUGGCUGUUUCUUUGCACAGCUCCUUCCUCUGAUUGUCUGCCCUACAAAUUCUAGCCACCUCCUUGAACUCCAAUCUCCCUCCUCAACUUAGUAAACUGACUGUGCUUCGAUUGGAAUCCCCCUUCUCUGAAAUUUAGCCUGGAAAGUGCCUUUGUUAUGGGCUGAACUGUUUCCCCCAAAACUCAUACAUAAGCCCUAACCCUCAAUGUGAUUGUAUUUGGAGAUAGAGCCUUAGGGAGGUGAUUAAAGUUAAAUAAAGUCAUAAAGGAAGAGCCCUAAUCCUGUAGGAUUGAUGUCCUUAGAAGAGGCAUCAGAGAGCUCUCUCAUUCUCUUCCUCCACAUGGGCACAGAAGGAAGGAAGGUCACGUACAGACAUAGUGAGAGGACAGCCACCUACAAGCUAGGAAAAGAGGCCUCACCAGAAACCAACUCUGUUUCUUUCUAGUCUCCAGAAUUGUGAGAACAUAAAUUCCUGUUGUUCAAGCUGCCCAGUCUGUGAGGUUUUGUCAAGGCAGCCCAAGUUGACUAAGCCUCCUAGGAAAAAGCCUGAAUGUAGUGUUUGUAUGUGGUUCCUUGCAAAUUUCCUUCUUCUUGGGGAAGGAAAGAGCACUUCCUGUUGCCUAGUUUUUGAAAAUAGUUGCUUCACCUAUUUCAUCUAUUUCUGGGUAUAUCUCUUCAUGAAGGUUAGUUAGGGCCCAGUUAUUCCAUCAGGGCCAGAAGCAUGAAUCCCCUUGUUUCAUUUCUUUUCUUUUUUUCUUUUUCUUUUUGUCUUUUUAGGGCUGCACUUGUGGCAUAUGGAAGUUCCUGGGCUAGGGGUCGAAUUGGAGCUGCAGC
This 6616-nucleotide long non-coding RNA is filed under the name Sus scrofa (pig). Its description in RNAcentral is "lncRNA (ENSSSCG00000049696.2)". The record is from RNAcentral. Lineage: Eukaryota; Metazoa; Chordata; Mammalia; Artiodactyla; Suidae.